This is a small nuclear RNA of Hyla sarda, 198 nucleotides long. RefSeq annotates it as U2 spliceosomal RNA. The transcript has a single exon. The record is from RefSeq and is a predicted model, not a curated record. NCBI's taxonomy places the organism in Eukaryota, Metazoa, Chordata, Amphibia, Anura, Hylidae.
AUAAGAUCUUAGAACUAUGAUUUAGUUCUGAGGGAAACUUAAAAAUCUGUUCUUAUCAGUUUAAUAUCUGAUACGUCCCCUAUCUGGGGACCAUAUAUUAAAUGGAUUUUUGAGAACGGGGGCCGAUUUCGAAGCUUGCUUCCGUCGCCCUAUGCAUUGACCCGAUAUGGCAGUAUCUUCGGGUACAGUGCACCACCC